AUUUACAUUAAAAGCCUCCUUUGCCUGCAGCGGUGCUAUGCGAAGAUCCCGAUGUAAAAAAUGCUGCCAAGGAGGAGGGUUCCAAGCCCCCUUACAAAGUCAAGUCUACGGUGACUUUUAGUUGCGUAUCUGGAUAUACUAUGACAGGAACUCGCACCCAAACAUGUGGACUAAAUGGUCAGUGGGCGCCUGGACUUCCAACGUGUGCACUAACGACAACCACCAAACGUCCCACUACCACCAAGAAAACCAUAGGUGACUCUGGGACGGUUGAUCCUCCUGAAAACAAAGGAAAUGGGAUGGCUAUAGGGUUGGGUCUAGGUUUGACCGUCCUCAUUGGUAGUGUCCUCACUGUCUUGGGAUGCUAUUUCUGUGGAGUUCCGGCAUGCAUCAAAGAGAAAAAACGCUCUCGGAGAGGCUUUCCUGUCAAUGCCGCUCCGUCAGCGGAUGAGGAGGUAGCGCUCUCGUAA
Gasterosteus aculeatus (three-spined stickleback) is the source of this 470-nucleotide long non-coding RNA. Lineage: Eukaryota; Metazoa; Chordata; Actinopteri; Perciformes; Gasterosteidae. The record is from Ensembl.